Molecule: unclassified non-coding RNA, 4321 nt
Filed under: Hevea brasiliensis (rubber tree)
Lineage: Eukaryota; Viridiplantae; Streptophyta; Magnoliopsida; Malpighiales; Euphorbiaceae
Source: RNAcentral
CCACGAUUCAAAUUCCGUCCGGUACCUUUUUUACCAUCAUUUAAAAUUUACCAAUUAAAUAUCGCCCAUCGGAUGAUCAUCAUCAUACUAAAAAAAUAGCACAAUGAUAGCGCGCGCUUUUGGAGCACCGGAGGCACCAGUUCGGAAGCAAAAUAGUGGGUCCCAGCAUCACAAGACUUCUUGCCUUAUCCCGUCGUCCCUGGCAGCAACUGUUUGGGAAUUCAAAAUAAAACUACUGUAGAAACCAGUCGUUGCCCUAGACAUUUCCAGGAAGCUUCCUCCUAAUCAUACCUCUCUUCUUCGUCUCACUCGCAACAACAACAAGAAAGGGAAGAAAAAGUCUUUACUUUUGAUAAGAACUGCAGUAGUUGAUCAAUUUCUGAUAUUUUCUUCCUUGGGAUUGAAAUUCCAUUACUUUGGGGUGUAUGAAGAAGAUUCUUGGGUUUAUUUAUUUGUUGAAGGUUGGAUUUUCAGUGCACAUUGUAACUUCUUCAAUAAGCUGUAGUCAUGAAUUUUCCCCAGGAGAAGUUUGUGAGGUUUCAGGAUUGGAAGUCAGAGAAAAGUACCGAAGUACAAUAUUCUGGAAGUAAUGGGAUACAUUCAGGAAAAGUUAGGAUGACUAUAAGCUCCGUUUCUGAGAAGUUUCAAAGAGGAUUAGAAUCUGGCUCUGAAAGCAUCAACAGAAUUAGAAAAUCAUUGAAAUCAUAUUCAUUUAGUAGUACUAUUGCUAAAGGCUUGAAUUCCAGGAAAAAAGUUCUUGACCCUCAGGGACCUUUCCUACAAAAAUGGAAUAAGAUAUUUGUAUUAUCAUGUGUGAUUGCCGUUUCACUGGAUCCUUUGUUCCUUUAUGUACCUGUGAUUAAUGAUGAUAAGAAGUGUCUGGACUUGGACAAGAAGAUGGAGAUUACAGCUAGUGUCUUGCGUUGGUUCACAGAUAUUUUUUACAUACUUCAUAUCAUUUUUCAGUUUCGCACUGGUUUUAUUGCUCCAUCUUCUCGAGUUUUUGGAAGAGGUGUUUUAGUUGAAGAUUCUUGGGCAAUAGCCAAGAGGUACUUGUCAUCGUAUUUCUUAGUGGACAUCCUUGCAGUCCUUCCACUUCCGCAGGUGGUGAUUUUAAUCAUAAUUCCAAAAAUGAGAGGAUCAAGAUCUUUGAAUACGAAGAACUUGUUAAAAUUUGUUGUGUGCUUCCAGUAUUUUCCAAGGGUUAUGCGACUCUAUCCAUUGUAUAAGGAAGUUACAAGAACUUCUGGCAUAUUGACAGAAACUGCAUGGGCAGGAGCCGCAUUUAAUCUGUUUCUUUACAUGCUUGCAAGUCAUGUAAGUUUGAUUACUAGAUUGUUAUUCAUUUUAUGGUAAGAUAAAUGCGAGGCAUCGAUCAUAUUGACGCAAAAUUUUCAUUAGUUAUUUACAUGGUGGAUUACUAUGUGCAGUAAUUAUUAGAAGCAUGAAACAUGAGUUUGCAGAACUAGCUUUAAUAUUUCAACUGCUAUUCUUCCGUCUGUAAAUUGAAUCUUGAAAGUUUCAUUGGCAUGCAUAAUAAACUGGAGGCAAACACUUUUUGGCGCUUGCCUUUAUGUGAUUAUUUCAUUAAUUUUAACUCUUUUGUUUAGUUUAUUUGGGAACUUCAUUCAUGGUCCACUUUCAUAUUUAUGUAAUUUGAUGUUGUCUAUGGCAUUAACAGGUGCACAAAUUCCAUUCAUUCUCUCUCUCUCUCUCAGGCACAGUUUGGCUGUUGACUAGUUCAAUAGUUCUGUUGAUGUAAUAAUGUUUGGUGCACUGGUAGAUAAUUGAAAAGCAAUAUUGGAAAAAAAAAUCUGUUCUUGUGUAAGUUUUGGACUUUUGAGCUGUUGGUUGUCAUCAAAUACUAAUUGACUGGCUGUUCUUUAUAGGUACUUGGAGCCUUUUGGUACUUGUUUUCUAUAGAAAGAGAAACAACAUGCUGGAAAAAAGCCUGUCGGUAUCCUGAUUGCAUCCGUGAUAAUUUGUACUGUGGUCCUAAUAAAGGAGACAAUGCAGCAUUUCUUAAUGUCUCUUGCCCUGUACAAACACCAAAUUCAACUAUUUUCGACUUUGGAAUAUUCCUUGAUGCCCUUCAAUCUGGUAUUGUGGCAUCUGAUGAUUUUCCAAAGAAGUUUUUUUACUGCUUUUGGUGGGGCCUGCGAAAUCUGAGUUCUCUUGGCCAAAACCUUGAAACAAGUACCUUUGUCUGGGAAAUCUGCUUUGCAGUUCUCAUUUCUAUCUCAGGAUUGGUGUUGUUUUCAUUUCUCAUUGGAAAUAUGCAGACAUAUUUGCAAUCCACAACCACAAGAUUGGAGGAAAUGAGAGUUAAGAGGCGAGAUGCAGAGCAAUGGAUGUCUCACCGCUUGCUUCCUGAGAAUCUGAGGGAGCAGAUCAGGCGACAUGAACAAUACAAAUGGCAAGAAACCAGAGGUGUUGAUGAAGAGAAUCUGGUGCAUAAUCUUCCCAAGGACCUUAGAAGAGACAUAAAGCGUCAUCUCUGCUUGGCCUUGCUUAUGAGGGUGAGUUCUUUCUCCUUUUAUUUCCAGGAAGGCUCCAUGAGCUGUUGUUAUUUAUUUAUUUUUAUUUAAUGAAAUGUUCUCUAGUACCUUCUUAAUGAAUUAAUUCAGCAUAUAUUACCAUUAUGUCCCCUUUAUUUGUUGUCUUCUUCUUUUUCCUCUUCCCUUUUUUAAGAUGUUAUCAAAAAAGGGAGAAUUUGCUAUUCCGGCUAGUGUGACUGUGACCAGUCAUGGCUCGUCUCCCAAUUUUAGUAAUUUAUAGUGACUUGGAGUGCAGCUAUGCCAGGUUCUUUUCUUAAUCAAAUGGUAGAAGACGACUGAUAACUAUCAGAAGUUGAAAUGUUUAGCUUCAUUCAUAUUUUUGCCUUGUAAAGGAGAUAUAAAUUAAUCAUCUUAAUGACCAAAUGCAUUUCAUGCCGGAAUAAACAUUAUUGGUAGUAUGUGUUUCUCUAUAAUACAUCAAUAAUCUCUGGAUCUUUAAUCUAUCCUGUACUGGAUGUAUUUUUAUUAAGGUACCAAUGUUUGAAAAAAUGGACGAGCAACUACUAGAUGCAAUGUGCGACCGGCUCAAGCCGGCACUCUACACAGAGGAAAGCUACAUCGUUCGGGAGGGAGACCCAGUUGAUGAGAUGCUCUUUAUCAUGCGAGGCAAGCUUAUAACCAUGACCACCAAUGGUGGACGAACUGGCUUCUUCAACUCUGAAUACCUCAAGGCUGGUGACUUUUGUGGAGAGGAAUUACUGACAUGGGCCCUAGAUCCCCACUCCUCAUCUAACCUUCCUAUAUCAACCAGAACUGUUAGAACCAUUACUGAAGUUGAAGCCUUUGCUCUAAUGGCUGAUGACUUGAAAUUUGUUGCUUCUCAAUUCCGGAGGCUACACAGUAAGCAACUCCGCCACACCUUCAGGUUUUAUUCACAGCAGUGGAGGACUUGGGCAGCAUGCUUUAUACAAGCAGCAUGGCGCAGGUAUAGUAAAAAGAAGCUUGAAGAGUCUCUCCGACAAGAGGAGAAUAGGUUGCAAGAUGCAUUAGCCAAUACAAGUGGGAACUCACCGAGUUUAGGUGCCACCAUAUAUGCCUCACGAUUUGCUGCUAAUGCACUUCGUGCCCUGCGGCGUACUGGUACUCGCAAGGCAAGGUUGUUGGAGAGAGUUCCACCAAUGCUGCUUCAAAAGCCUGCAGAACCCGAUUUUACAGCUGAAGAAAGAUAGACUUGGAUUAUUAGUGGUGAUAUUUUGUGUUUGAUUGCUGUGUACAAAGUGAAAUUAGAACUAUUUCAGCCAACAAAGAAAGACAUGAUAAAUGGGUAGAGGCUUGGGAUUGCACCAUUGAUAGUCACUUUUUGUUGGCGUAAUGAGGUUUGUGCAACACAUAUCUUGUCGUAUAUGGUGAUCUACGAUUGUACUUUUUCAGCUCCUUUCGGAAAAAACAAAAAUUGUUGGUUCUUAUUUCAUCAUAUACCAGAAGCGUGUUUAGCGAUCCUUUUUCGUUCUUAUCCCUUGUGAAAGCUGAGGAGCAAGCAUACAUGCCUACCAUUGUAAUCGGGUUGUUUACUAGGAAAGGUAACACGCCUAGCAAUUUCAAAAGGGCUAAUCGAGUGGAGAACAAUCUUGAUCUGCUUAUGCUCACCUUAAUUAAAUAAUGGGUGUGCCAUCAAGCGUGUUUAGCAUGGUAGCCCAGAUGUGUCGAUACAAUCACAGUCGAAUAUCGCUUGGGUGAUGAUAAAAGUUUUUCUAUUUUUCUAUUUAAUGUGUUUCACAGCUCCGGAGAUCUGCUCGUCCUAACCAAUCAAAAAACGGGGAAGA